Non-coding RNA from Nicotiana tabacum (common tobacco), 1985 nucleotides. Lineage: Eukaryota; Viridiplantae; Streptophyta; Magnoliopsida; Solanales; Solanaceae. The record is from RefSeq and is a predicted model, not a curated record.
CCUUAUAUACCGCUUCCGGUGGUAGAAAAAGGAGGUGUGAUAAUGCCAACAACCAAAUGCUUCCACUUGCUUAAGCAGUAGUGGAAUAUGAGAACAAAAAUACCUGGUCAUGGUUUGUAUCUUUGCUUAAAGAUGAUUUAGGAAUAGGAGAUGGCAGGGGUUUCACCUUGAUUACAGACAUGCAAAAGGUAUAUCAUUCCAGUAUGUUUGAUAUUCUUUUUUGUGUUUCAUGUUUGAUUACUAACUAAUUUCCUCUUUUGUAUGGACUUCUAGCAGCAAUUCAAGAUAUUAUUCCAGCAUGUGAGCACAGGAUGUGUGCCAGGCACAUCCUUGCAAAUUGGUCAAAGAAUUGGAGAGGGAUUCAGAGGAGGAUGUUGUUCUGGAAGUGUGCUAGAAGUACAUAUGAGGCUGAACUCAAGAAAAAUCUUAAAGCACUCAGUAUGCUUGGUAAGAACAUAGUUGAUGAUCUUUUGUACUAUAACAAAGAGACUUGGUGUAAGGUGUAUUUUAAUGUAGAAGUCAAGUGUGAUGUAGUAGAUAAUAAUAUGGCUGAAAUUUUUAAUGCAUGGAUUCUAGCUGCAAGGCACAAGACCAUUAUUACCAUGCUUGAAGAAAUAAGAGUCAAGAUGAUGACUAGAAUAGCUAAGUUAAGGGAAUUUGCAAAUACUUGGUCCUACAACAUUCCUCCAAUGGCAUUAAAGGUUUUAGAGGAAAAUAUUGAAAAGUCAAUGAGGUGUACAAUUUUUUUUAAUAGACAUACAGGAUAUCAGGUUAAGGAGGGAACAAAUCAACAUACUGUUUGCCUAAGAAAUAAUACUUGUAGUUGUAGGGCUUGGAUGUUGAAGGGGAUACCAUGGCCACAUGCCAUAGCUGCAAUGUACUAUAAAGGGUAUGAACCAGCUGACUAUGUUGAUAAUUGCUACAUGAAGGAGACAUAUUUGAUGACAUAUUCUCACUUCCUUCAACCACUCAAUAAUAUGAAAAUGUGGACUGCAUCUACUAACCCUCCUGAUGCACCACCAGUGGUAAAAAGUAUGCCUGGCAGGCCCAAGAAGGUUAGGAGAAAAGAGGCAACUAAAACCAAAAAAUAUGGAAAGUUACCUAAAACUGAACUUGUCAUGAGGUGUAGCAUCUGCAAGGGUGUUGGUCACAACAAGAGGGGGUGUCAUAAGAGUGCUACAGAUCCAUCAGGUUCAGGAACUGUUGCUACACCAUAAAAUGUAACUUCUACUGCUGCAGAAGCAUCAGGUUCAGGAAGAAAUAGAAGCAGACCAAAGAAACCAAGAAAUUUAGAAGAUGAACCUACUGCAAAAAAAAGGGAGAGGAAGACCUAGAAAAUCAACAUAUACUGCACCUAAUGUCUCUAUUGCUGCUGAAUUUUCAAGUUCUGUAACAUCUGCCGCUGCUACUACAUCAACUGCACCUAUUGCAGUAGCUAGUAUAGGCAGGGGAAGAGGAGGAUCUAAUGCAACAUCUGCUGCACCUAAUGCAACAUCUGUUGCAGCUAGUAGAGCUAAUGCCUCUACUGCUACACUAAAUAGAGGAAUGGAAAAGGGUGUGGAAAAUACAAAACCAUUUAAAAGGCCAAAAGUGAUGGGAAUGGGUGUGUUUCAAGCUGAAAAUGGCUUCAAAACUUUGAAUCCUGGAAUGCCAAGUAGUAGAAUAGUAGCCACGCUAAGUACCAGAAUAGAGUCCAAUGGACCAGCAAUGAUAAUAAGAUCAGCUGAUGUAACUGGUGACAUUGGUUUCAAACCAAGUAGUGGACUGAAAUGGAAGGGAAAACCAGCAAUCACAACAAGAAGGCUUCAAGAGAUUAGAGGGAAAUAUAGAAUUCAAACAAGGACUGGUGGAUCAAACAACCUAAGCCAGAAUAGUAGUUCUGCACAUCCCCAAUAGAUUUGGUUGUUUUUGUUGACUGAAAUCUACUUCACCUACAAUUAUUUGAUGUUUUUGGUUGACUACAAGUAGACAAUGUAUACCCUAAG